Molecule: ribosomal RNA, 414 nt
Filed under: uncultured Propionibacterium sp.
Lineage: Bacteria; Bacillati; Actinomycetota; Actinomycetes; Propionibacteriales; Propionibacteriaceae
Description: bacterial SSU rRNA
Rfam family: Bacterial small subunit ribosomal RNA
Source: RNAcentral
GUGCCAGCAGCCGCGGUAAUACGUAGGGUGCGAGCGUUGUCCGGAUUUAUUGGGCGUAAAGGGCUCGUAGGUGGUUGAUCGCGUCGGAAGUGUAAUCUUGGGGCUUAACCCUGAGCGUGCUUUCGAUACGGGUUGACUUGAGGAAGGUAGGGGAGAAUGGAAUUCCUGGUGGAGCGGUGGAAUGCGCAGAUAUCAGGAGGAACACCAGUGGCGAAGGCGGUUCUCUGGGCCUUUCCUGACGCUGAGGAGCGAAAGCGUGGGGAGCGAACAGGCUUAGAUACCCUGGUAGUCCACGCUGUAAACGGUGGGUACUAGGUGUGGGGUCCAUUCCACGGGUUCCGUGCCGUAGCUAACGCUUUAAGUACCCCGCCUGGGGAGUACGGCCGCAAGGCUAAAACUCAAAGGAAUUGGCGG